CUUUAUUAGCCUGGUACCCGAGGCCUUCCGAUGUUCAAAGAACGAAGGCCAGGCAUCGGAUGUCGAAUGGAUUCUUCCACUGAUCAAAAUCCAAUAUGGCGGACUCAAUGAUGAAUUUCCAUACAUAUGGAAAGAAGAAACACAUGAUAGUGGAUGAAAAACACCCUCAUAUAUAAUGCUUCAUGAAUAUGCAAAACCAUGCCAACAGUCUACAGACUCCAGAUGGAAAGAUACAAAGAAAGAAAUUCUAAAGGGGUAUUCAAGGACUCAUCCUCCUCCAAACCAAUUCAUAUUGGAAGGAAUUAACAUCCAACUUGAAUGAAGAAUUACACACAGGCACUUAAUUAGGCCCCAAGCGAUAUAAGUGCUUCUGGAAUUACAAACUUCCAUAACAGGUGCAUCAUGCAGACCCUUUUAAAAAGGAGAAGCCAGAUCUUCAGAAGACUUCCUUAAAAAUGAGAAUUUUCUGAGUGGAAGUGAAGAAUGAAAGGUGAAGAUAACGAACAGUGAUCAAUCUCAUAACUCUUAUAAGAAGAAUGUGGCAUGCAUACAAGCAGACAACAGCAUUCCCUCCCUCUUGUUUGUAUCAGAGGUGAGCUUUUUGAGAAAGACUCAUGGAGGGAGUUCGAGAGUGUCAGUUCUCAGAUCAAGAAGUUAGCCAACAGUAGGAGGAGUAGCAAUUCAUUCCACAGUAUGACAUGAGAAAUACAUGACAGGAAAAACCUUAAAAAGGAGAUUUGGCAUUGUUUCAUGUGGAAAUGGAAGAAUCUUUGAAAUAUAUAACACAUACAUGUUUCAGUUACUUGGGGAUAACACUUAUGAGGAAUUUUGCCAUAUAUCAGAUGGGAAUGUGUUGCACAAGAAAUGCUUGAUCACAACCCUCUUUUAUUAGAAACCUUUUCUAUGCAAAUAAUUAUUGUAAAUGAAAUUUAGCUAUUUCAUUAGACUAGUAAACAUGUUUUCUGUGCAAGUGUGUGUCUUUGACAUUAAAUGCUAUGAUAUUGAAGUAUUCUUAAACAAUAGAAGAUCUCUACUAGUUCUUUCAAAGGAAGCCAACAACAGGAAUCGAACCUGUUCCUCCAUCGUACAGAUACGAAAGUGUGCACCAGUACACCAUGUUGGCAUAUAUUAAGAACUGGUAGUCUUGGAGAGUAAAUAUUGUAUUAUUCUUGUACAGUUGAUACUGGUUGGUGUGAUAUAUAUAUGUAUAUAUAUAUAAUAUACAUACAAGUAUAUAUAAUGUAUGCUUCAUGUUUGCUAGUCGUUAAUAAAGCAUUUGAAUUGAA
Molecule: long non-coding RNA, 1286 nt
Organism: Ostrea edulis (European flat oyster)
Lineage: Eukaryota; Metazoa; Mollusca; Bivalvia; Ostreida; Ostreidae
Exons: 5
Source: RefSeq, a predicted model, not a curated record